CCGGCGGGGGAGAGUGCAGACGUGAGUGCAGAGCAGAGGGAAGAGGGAGAGGAGAGCACUCUCGAAACUGCGCAGGCAGGGAGUUCGAAACAGCCCGCGGUGCAGACGACAGCGGAGGGGGCAGCGGGAACGAGGCGGGAAAAGAAGGCGGCGGUGAGUGCGGGCGCGGCGGUUUUACGUCUGGAGCGCCCAGUGACGCGUUCGGUGGCAGGAGCCCAUGAAGCCGCAGAGGCAGCCGCCCGAACCCUGUCCGUGGCAGCCGCGACUCCAGAGAGAGCGGCGGAGAAGGAGCAAGACGCCUCCUUCCUGGCAGCUCUGGCCGCACGCAUGCGCGUCAUGGUAGAGCGAAACCCGGAAAUCAGAGCGCAGGAUUUCUCGUAUUUCGAAAGAGCGGCACAGGCAUAGACGGCUUCGGGGGCGGCGGCAGCCGCCAGCCAGCCGUCCAGAGACUGCGCUGCGGCCGCGGGGGGAGACCCGAGCGGCGCGGGGCCUGGCGGGACGUGGCCCGGGGCCGCAGGAGCGGCGGGACACAGCAAGCGCGCGCUGAUGACGUCAGCGGAGCCUGGAACUGCACUGGGUGCCGGCACUACCACGGACCCGGGGGGGGGGACCCACAGCGGGACCGAGGCGGCGCGGAGCCCAGCUGGGAGAAGGGAGGAGGCGUUCCCAAGCCCGCGGCCGCGCUGGAGGCAGUGCAGGCGGGGCGCAGCCAGGGCGGGGGUUCCUCCUUUCGUUCCCAUGGCGAUGCAGAGAGAGAGGGAGUGAAUCCAGGCUGUGCAUGCAUUUGCGGUAGUCAAAACGAACGCGGAUGUGAAUGAGAAUGUGGGCGCUGAGUUCGGAGAGGUAGAUUUCAGGCGCAGGCUCGGCACAACCGACGCCGGGCGUGAGCGGGGAGGGGGCGAGCAAGAAAGUGGCGCAGCCAUGCCGAGGAUGGGAAGAUUUCGACUGAAAGAACUCACGAAACAAUAAUGAACAUUGAUUUAAGGAGAAGAAACAAUUUGUUGUUGCAUGCCAUUCUGAAGUCUCAUUUUGGAUUUUAACAGUAUUGUGCAUUUUCCUAGGUGGACCUUCAGGUUUGUUUUUAUAUCUCUUGUGAGUGGAAUCAUUGCAUUUCUGUUUUCUAUCAUUCUCAAAUGUUUUUCACAAGAUUUCAGAGGGAGAUGCCUGAAGCAUUUUGACAGCCUCUUGUCAACUGUAAAUCUUUUGAUUUCUUCUAAUUGACAUCCUUUUCCCUCAAAGAAGUUUCACGAAAAAAUGAAUCCUUGUGUCAUUUGAUCAAUUUAUCAGCUUGAACUUCAAGUGUUUAUUUUAUGUGAAAAUAUUAUAAUAGGUUGUUGUGUUUUAAGUAUCAUAUAUGUAUUGUUGGUACAAGCUUUGUUUUAGAUAAUAUGUUAGAGGACAUCACUCCAUUUUAAAGUUUGCAUCCUGGCCAGGCCCUGAUUUUAACUUGGAUGGAUGAGUUUUGCCAGCAAAAUCCAGAGGUUUCUGCACAAAAAUGAAUGAUAUGUAGAUCAUUUUUAUCCACCAAUUCAAUCCUACAAAUGUGACAGCUGACACAGCUUUGAGGUGAAACUUGUCAAGCCCUGCCCGGGAAGGGAUGCCAAGGGUUUUCACUGGAAACAAAUGUUUCAGCUGUCUGCAGACUCUGAAAUGCUGGCACAAGGUUUCUAAUGAUUAUGCAUUGUUCAAUUUUAUAUAUGUUAUUUAGAAUCUCUUUCUUUUGAACUUUCUUAAAUUGUAAUCAAUUUUGAUAGGUUUUAUGCAUUCUAUCAUUGAGGUAUUUUGUCUUAUUUUAUAUUAUGUUUUAUAUUUCAACAUUCCUGUUUCAAAAGAGAAGAAGAGAAAGAAUGAAAAAAGAAAAAAGGUGAAGAAGUGCCUAAAAUAAGGCUGGAAAGAGGUUGAGGAUUUUGUAUAUUUUAAUCUUUUGAAAUAAUACUUUUGUAGACCCCAUUUUGCUGAUCAUCGAGAGAAAGGUGAGAAGAGUCCCAGACACUGGACAGACCAAACUAAAAAAUCAUUCAGAUUAAUAACUCUGAGCAAGGAUUAUGUUAGUGUUUUCACAGGAGUUAGAAAAUGGUUUUUUGUUUUUUUGGGGUUUUUUUUAAGCUUACAGGCCUUCAAAAACAAUUCUUACAGAUUUAGAGAUGAUAGCUUAGAUCAUUAUUAAGGCAAGGACCAGGUUGCUGGCAAUAUCAGGCAAAGAUUUCUCAAUCAUUCAUUUACUUUUAAAGAAAAAAUAUUUUGAGUGGACAAUCCAAAAGUCACAAGAUUUUUCAAUCACGUUGUUAGGGUAUCCAGGAGUUUGCACAGUUCAUUUUCCAGCUCACAGAAUGUUAAAUGCAAAAGUAAGUUUUAGAGAAAAACCAAAAAUAAGUCAGGAGCCAGUGGAAGGGGUGACAGUGUUCACUGAGGGUUGAGGGAAAACUCACAAAUCAGUAACCACAUGGCAAAAUCCAAAAACGGGGAAAUGGGAAUCAGAUAUUAAAAUAGUACAUGGUUCACCACAAAUCGUAGAAUUGGCAGCAGUAGUCAGGGUUUUUCAAUUAUUUCAGGAACCCCUCAGUCUGAUCACAGAUUCAGCAUAUGUUGCAAAUGUGGUCAAACAAUUAGAGGGAUCACUUUUAAAACACACAGACAAUGAAAUUUUAUAUUCAUAUUUGUCAUGCAUGAGAACAAUCCUAGAAAAAAGAGAACACAAAUAUUUUGUUAUACACAUCAGAACACAUUCUUCACUUCCAGGGUUUUUAGCAGAAGGGAAUGCUCAUGCAGACAAAAUCACAGACACUGCCAGACAUUUUCGAGCAAGCAAAAUUGAGCCAUGCAUUUUUUCACCAAAAUGCACAAACAUUGAUGGAAUCCUUUCGCCUUUCUAAAAGUCAGACAGAGGAAAUCAUCAGUGCUUGCCCAGAUUGUCAGCUUGUGCAGUCACCAGGAGCAGACAAUCCGAAGGGAUUGCAGAGUGUUCAGCUGUGGCAAACUGAUGUCACAAAAUAUGCAUCCUUUGGGAGGCUCAAAUACAUUCAUGUUUCAGUUGACACAUUUUCAGGGGCAAUUUUUGCAUCAUUACAUACACGAGAAACCGCAGAACAUGCCUGCAGACAUUUUUUACAAGCAUUUGCAUCAUUAGGGGUGCCACAAGAAAUAAAAACAGAUGAUCCAAUUUACACAGGCAAGGUGCUUGACAAAUUUCUGAAAAAAUGGGGAGUCAAACAAGUUUUCGGUAUUCCUCAUUCUCCCUCAGGUCAAGCAAGCAUUGAAAGAACACAUCACACCCUGAAAUCCCUCUUGGAUGAACAGAAAAGGGGGGAGGCAGGCGCAACACCUUAUAUGCGGUUGGACAAAGCUCUGUAUGUGUUGAAUUUUUUAAAUGGUUCUUUCUCAGAGCCCAUUCCACCAAUUGUCAGACAUUUUACAAACAGCACACAAGCAAAGCUAAGGGAAAAUCCUUUAGUUUUGGUCAGAAACCCAGAGUCAGGACAAAUCGAAGGCCCAUUUGCAUUAAUAAUUUGGGCAAGGGUUUUGCUUGUGUUUCCACAGGGCAAGGACUGAAGUGGGUGUCAGCAAGGCACAUGAACCCUUAUCGGGUGCAGACGCAAGUGGAUGUGGACCCGAGAAGCAGAAAGGCAAGCACACAGACGAAGGCGAACAACGACGGUGCAGACGUGUCAUCAGACAACGAUUGGAAACUCAGAGACUUGAGGUUUUUUUAAGGAAUCAAGUGUUAUUUGGGUGUUGCUGCAUUGUGGAGUUUCUCACAGAGAGUGGGGACAUGGACAUGGGGUUCAGACAGUGUUCAUGUGCUUCAUUCUUUUGCCUUUUGCCUUGGGAAAUAGAACAGAUUUUCCCAUGAGACAACCAAGGGAAAAUAUGUGGGAGACUUUGGCAAAAGCAGCGGGUCUGGACAGCAUUUGCCUGACCCAUUCAAAACCGGGGAAACCACUCUCAACAUGCUUGGUAGGUGUGCCAGUUGGAGGAAUGGCCAAUCCCAAAGAGCAUCCCUCCAAAGGUUCUGAAGUCUUUUUUGGAUGCUGUGGACGGAUGGCAUGUUUGGGCACAGUUCCUUCCAGUGGCUCACUUUGAACCCCACGAAUUGGACAUCUUUGGGUCAACAAAAAUGAAAUUCUGUAUCAAAUUCAAUCCAUUGGGAGUGACAGAGAAAGAUAACCACAUGAUAGAUAUCACGCCAAACCAGCUCUUUUACAGAAAUGCAUCAUCCUGGUGUAAUUACACCAAAAAUGAUGAGCAAACCAUCCCUCCAAAAUCCAACCAUUCUACCAAAAGGGAUGUUUUUGAAUUUGCGGGGACAGAAUUUGGCCUGCUAUCCCUGCAAAAAUCAAGGGUGGUCCAUGCAGCAUUGGGAGAUCUUUUGUUAACACUUUGAUAAGAGAGGAAGAAAAAAAAACUAAUGAAUGAAGUGAUCCAGAAUGUGACAAUGAUAAUGUUAACACCUAGAAAAACAGCUUGGAAAUCUGGAAUGGGUCUGCUUUCACAGCAGGUGGCAUCAAAAAGAGUCUUGGUACAGCUGGAUCAAAAGAGGUUGUGGGCAGAGUAAGGAUGCCCAUGCCGUUUCUUUUGCAUCAAAUAAUUUGUUAGCUAACAAUAUGAAAUGAGAACAAAGCAGCAAUUGAACAUCUAUUGUGAACACAUGGACACGAGUGAUAAAUUUGAAGAGGUAUCAUAAGAGAAAACACACCUGCAGAAAAAGAAAAAUUAAAUCUUACAUGGAUGGUGGGUUCAAUUUGUUUUACCCUUCACAGUUGUAGAAGGAGAUUUGGAAAACACUUGUAUAUAAUUAUAGGGUAUUGUAAUUCUUCUGA
This is a non-coding RNA of Taeniopygia guttata (zebra finch), 4817 nucleotides long. NCBI's taxonomy places the organism in Eukaryota, Metazoa, Chordata, Aves, Passeriformes, Estrildidae. The record is from RefSeq and is a predicted model, not a curated record.